This 360-nucleotide ribosomal RNA is filed under the name uncultured bacterium. RNAcentral describes it as "partial 16S ribosomal RNA". It matches the Rfam family "Bacterial small subunit ribosomal RNA", at positions 338 to 695 of the family's 1533-position model. The record is from RNAcentral.
CCUACGGGUGGCUGCAGUGAGGAAUAUUGGUCAAUGGGCGCAAGCCUGAACCAGCGACGUAGCGUGAAGGAUGACUGACCUACGGGUUGUAAACUUCUUUUAUAGAGGAAUAAAGUGCGGCACGUGUGCCUUUUUGUCUGUACUUUAUGAAUACGGAUCGGCAAACUCCGUGCCAGCAGCCGCGGUAAUACGGAGGAUCCGAGCGUUAUCCGGAUUUAUGGGGUUAAAGGGGAGCGUAGAUGGGUGGUUAAGUCAGUUGUGAAAGUUUGCGGCUCAACCGGAAAAUUGCAAUUAAUACUGGCAGCCUGGAGUACAGUGGAGGUAGGCGGAAUUCGUGUGGUAGCGGGGAAAUGCUGAGAU